AGCCUAGAACAGCACAAAGAUGCUAGCCUAUGAGGAUGGUGUGGACUGGACAAGACUCCCCGACAGUAUAUUACUCCAGAUCUUCACUUUCCUGGAGUAUUCGGAUAUGCCGUUUGUGGGUCGUGUGUGCAAGUCCUGGCUGAGAGUGUCCCUCGACGAAUUCCUGUGGCGGUACUUCUUCUACAAAGACUUUCAGGUCGAUCCUAGUGUGCCUAUUAUGCCAGG
Long non-coding RNA from Penaeus monodon (black tiger shrimp), 225 nucleotides. RefSeq lists it as uncharacterized. The transcript has 2 exons. The record is from RefSeq and is a predicted model, not a curated record. NCBI's taxonomy places the organism in Eukaryota, Metazoa, Arthropoda, Malacostraca, Decapoda, Penaeidae.